CUGCAAUUGCAGUCAUAGUUGCUGCCUGAUACAACUGUCAACAAUGUAGCAAGAAUGAGAGAAAGAAAGAAAGAAUGAAUGAAUGAAUGAUUUUUUUUUUAUUGUGUUAAGAAUGAAAGCUAGAAAGGCUAAUUUAGAAAAAAAAAGAAAAAGCUUCACUAAGAGAUAUUCCAGGAAUACUGGCCAUGAGGCAGGAAUACACCAUGGAUGGGGUGCUAGGUGAGCUGGGAGGAAACCAGGGAACCCGGAGGAUACCCACAGGGACACCGGGGGAACAUGCCGAUGUCCGGAUCGAACUGUGGCAAGUGGUUCUGAUGGCAGUGGUUUGAGUCACACCUGGAGGAAGUACACUCUUGGCAUUCCGCAAGGCUCAAUUCUCAGUCCUCCUUUACUUUCCCAUCUACAUUCAUCUGUAGACUUUGAGAAAUAAGAAAAGUAUUCCCAUUUGAAAAAGAUGCAGUAUCAACCAUAUGGUCCAUCAAACAUGCUUAACGUGAUCUCUUCCUUCCAGAGAGUGAAUUUUUAUGGCUCUUGCCUUACAGAGCACUUACAGAAACAAAACAAUUCAUAUCUGCAAUUGUGUGUGUGUGUGUGUAUACUUUCUCAUUCAUCAUAACCAAUACGCUGGGAUGCAUUUGGUUUAAAAGGGUCACUGUCGCAAAUCGAUCAACAGUGAUGCACUGUACUGAAAAUAAAUAAAUAAAUAAAUAAAUGAAAAUUCCGAUUGCUAUGGGACUAAAAGGCUUAAAAACUAAUGCUGGCUUUAGGCCGUAUUGAAUCAUUUUGAAUUUGCUGAGAACUUCUCCAUAGUUCAUCUCAAUAAAUCCCAGGAAAAUAACGGAGGGGGCAUUUUAUAUAGUUCAUUCCAUUAUUGUAAUUACUUCAGAUGUCCAAGUGAGGCCAAAAGCUAGGCUCCGGUUAAUGAACGAGCUGGGACAUAGGAGGACUUCCAUUUUAGCAACUUCUCUCCUAGCCUCGUGUUUUUUUUUUGUUUUUUUUUGUCCAAAAUUAAUCAAUACCUUCUUACCAAUCACCUUCAACAUUUAGUUUGAAAUAAAAGCAAGCAAGCAGACAAAUAAAUACAUAAACAUGUGUGUGUUUAUUAUGGUUAGUGCAUUUAUAUGGUGUGUGUGUGUGUGUGUAUAUAUGUAUGUAUGCGUAGUGUAUAUGGCAUGUAUUUGAUGUGUAGUAGU
This is a long non-coding RNA of Ictalurus punctatus (channel catfish), 1193 nucleotides long. The record is from Ensembl. Lineage: Eukaryota; Metazoa; Chordata; Actinopteri; Siluriformes; Ictaluridae.